AAAGGAUUUUGUAUUUUUUUCCUAUUAAUUAAGAAUAUAUAUAUAUAUAUAUAUAUCAUAGAAGCUACUGAAAGGAGAUCUGACUGCCAGAAAAUUUCUAUCAGGCCUUAGACAUAGUAUGUAACAGGAAUCAAUAUAACCCAAACAGUAUUCUUGUUACUAGCCAUUUCUCAUUCCUUAGGCUUUGCAAAAAUGAAUCAUCUUUCAAUUUCUUGUAAUAUUUAGAUAUAAAGGAUCUGUCUGAGUUAUUAUAUACUUACCCCUGAAUUGUAAGGAGGAUCAAUCAGACUGAGAUUAGGGAGAGAUGCCUGAAGGGCAUUUACAUACACAGGCUGAGAAUGAACGGAGGAUAUGAAAGCUUCUUGCUUAUACUUCUCAAUCUUCUUAAUUAGGUCUAUCCUGUGAAUAUUUCGGAAACAGUUUUCUAUCAAAUCCAGUUGAUUUGGAGCCACCAAAUUCAGCUUUUCCAGUUCAAUAAUUAGACGUAGAAAACUCUUAUCUUUUGCCAUUUUCAUUCGAGGAGCAAAAUCUCGGAGUAGAAAAACAAGAGAACUCACUUCAUCUUUUUCCAGAUUCUCA
This 579-nucleotide long non-coding RNA is filed under the name Gallus gallus (chicken). Lineage: Eukaryota; Metazoa; Chordata; Aves; Galliformes; Phasianidae. The record is from RNAcentral.